This 253-nucleotide ribosomal RNA is filed under the name uncultured bacterium. Its description in RNAcentral is "partial 16S ribosomal RNA". It matches the Rfam family "Bacterial small subunit ribosomal RNA", at positions 524 to 776 of the family's 1533-position model. The record is from RNAcentral.
UACGUAGGUGGCGAGCGUUGUCCGGAUUUAUUGGGCGUAAAGCGCGCGCAGGUGGUGCGGUAAGUCUGUCGUGAAAUCUCCUGGCUCAACUGGGAGGGUGCGGUGGAGACUGCCGGACUGGAGGCACUCAGAGGCCGGUGGAAUUCCCGGUGUAGUGGUGAAAUGCGUAGAGAUCGGGUGGAACACCAGUGGCGAAGGCGGCCGGCUGGGGGUGACCUGACGCUGAGGCGCGAAAGCGUGGGGAGCGAACCGG